Molecule: long non-coding RNA, 861 nt
Filed under: Homo sapiens (human)
Lineage: Eukaryota; Metazoa; Chordata; Mammalia; Primates; Hominidae
Description: HSALNT0097330
Source: RNAcentral
GCCAGAGCUAGCAGUGGCAACCUGCUCAGUUUCUCUCUGCAGUGUGGAAGGUUUGUUCUUUUGCUGUUUGCGGUAAAUCUUGCUGCUGCUCACUGUUUUGGUUUGCAUUCCCUUUAUGAGCUGUGACACUCACCGCAAAGGUCUGCAGUUUCACUCCUGAGGCCAGUGCGACCACGAACCCACAGGGAGGAAUGAACAACUCCCGACAGGAGGAAUGAACAAUUCCAGACGCGCGCCGCCUUAAGAGCUGUAACACUCACCACGAAAGUCUGCAGCUUCACUCCUGAAGCUAGCAAGACCACGAACCCACUAGAAGGAAAAAACUCUGAACGCGUCUGAACAUCAGAAGGAGAAAACUUCGGACACACCGUCUUUAAGAACUGGAACACUUAUACCAUGAGGGUCUGCGGCUUCAUUCUUGAGCCAUUCAACAUAGUGCAUCAGAAGUGAUCUUUCAACACAUCCAGUACAUGAAUAAAUGAAAAACGCAAGUUACAAAACAUUACAGAGGUAAAAUCAUAAAUAUAGUCCCUGAAUUUCAUGGCCACCUGACCUUCACAUGAAGCUCAUAUUAAAGCCAUCUAUAGAGCAUGUUUUCCUGAAAACUUGACAAUCCAGGUUUGAAUACCCGCCUCCAAGUGAUAGGAAAGAACAGCCAAGUUUGAAUGCACACUGAUGUUUCAGGACCAUGGACAGUAGCAUCGGUUGCCCAGGAAAGUACAAAUGCAUGCUCUGGCUAUCACACUGAAUCAGGGAGAAUGAGAGACACCUGGAGCAGAUCUUGACCUAACCUAUUGCUUUGAAGUGAGCCCAGCAGACAGCAGGCUAGGUCAGACACCUGGCUGAGCAGCCCAAAGACAA